AUUAAAGUUGUUGCGGUUAAAAAGCUCGCAGUUGGAUUUUGAGAAUUAAGAGAUAUGGUCUUUUGCUUAGUCAAAUGUACUAAUUUCUUUUUCUCUUUUUUUCUGGAUAUUCAUUACUGCUAUUUAUUUAGUGGUAAACCAAAAAGGAGUAUUCAAUCUUUGGGUGCUCUGGAAUUCCAGAUCUUUUACUUUGAAAAAAUUAGAGUGUUCAAAGCAGGCAUUUUUGCCAUGAAUACAUUAGCAUGGGAUAAUAAUAUAGGACUCUUUAUCUGUAUCGUUGGUUUCUGGAUAUAAGAGUUAAAGAUUAAUAGGAACAGUUGGGGUGAUUCAUAUUUAAUUGUCAGAGGUGAAAUUCUUGGAUUUUUGAAAGAUGAACUUAAGCGAAAGCAUUUCACAAGGAUGUUUUCAUUAAUCAAGAACGAAAGUUGGGGGAUCGAAGACGAUUAGAUACCGUCGUAGUCUCGACCAUAAACUAUGCCGACCAGGGAUUGGAUUUUGUUUCUUUUGACUCUUCCAGCACCUUGUGAGAAAUCAUAAGUAUUUGGGCUCCGGGGGGAGUAUGGUCGCAAGGCUGAAACUUAAAGGAAUUGACGGAAGGGCACCACCAGGAGUGGAGCCUGCGGCUUAAUUUGACACAACACGGGAAAACUUACCAGGUCCAGACUGCAGAAGGAUUGACAGAUUGAGAGCUCUUUCUUGAUUUGCAGGGUGGUGGUGCAUGGCCGUUCUUAGUUGGUGGAGUGAUUUGUCUGAUUAAUUCCGAUAACGAACGAGACCUUAACCUGCUAAAUAGUUACUCUUAGCUUUUGUUGAGGAUUUAUUCUCUUCUUGAGCUAAUGAGGCGAACUUCUUAGAGGGACUAUUGGUUACUAACCAAUGGAAGUUUGAGGCAAUAACAGGUCUGUGAUGCCCUUCGAUGUUCUGGGCUGCACGCGCGCUACACUGAUGAACUCAACGAGUAAUUUUUCCUUAACCGAAAGGUUUGGGUAAUCUUCUGAAAGUUCAUCGUGAUGGGGAUAGAUCAUUGUAAUUAUUGGUCUUGAACGAGGAAUUCCUAGUAAGCGUAAGUCAUCAGCUUACGUUGAUUACGUCCCUGCCCUUUGUACACACCGCCCGUCGCUCCUACCGAUUGGAUGAUCCGGUGAAAACUUAGGAUGGAAGAUAUUUCACUAAUAGAGGUAACUUUGUUAGUUUUAUUUUCCAGAAUUUGUUUAAAUCUUAUUAUCUAGA
Molecule: ribosomal RNA, 1230 nt
Filed under: metagenome
Description: SSU rRNA
Rfam family: Eukaryotic small subunit ribosomal RNA
Source: RNAcentral